CUGCUCCUUAACCUGCUGUACCACUAGAGAACUUCAGCAGCAAAUAUCUUAAAGUUGGAACAAUACAGAGAAGAUUAACAUUCUCUCUGAGCUAGGAUGAUAGUGCAAAUCUGAAAUGUUUGAUUUUUAA
Molecule: small nuclear RNA, 130 nt
Filed under: Sus scrofa (pig)
Lineage: Eukaryota; Metazoa; Chordata; Mammalia; Artiodactyla; Suidae
Source: RNAcentral